AGACGUUGGAAAUUUAUUUUCAGUGUCGCAGGGAAACCGAUAAACACACCGCCUGGGGAGUACGACCGCAAGGUUAAAACUCAAAUGAAUUGACGGGGACCCGCACAAGUAGUGGAGCAUGUGGUUUAAUUCGAAGAUACGCGCAGAACCUUACCAACACUUGACAUGUUCGUCGCGACUCUAAGAGAUUAGAGUUUUCGGUUCGGCCGGACGAAACACAGGUGCUGCAUGGCUGUCGUCAGCUCGUGUCGUGAGAUGUUGGGUUAAGUCCCGCAACGAGCGCAACCCUCACUUUUAGUUGCCAUCAUUAAGUUGGGCACUCUGAAAGAACUGCCAGUGAUAAGCUGGAGGAAGGUGGGGAUGACGUCAAGUCCUCAUGGCCCUUACGUGUUGGGCUACACACGUGCUACAAUGGCAUCUACAACAGGAAGCAAAACGGCAACGUUAAGCAAAUCCCGAAAAGAUGCCUCAGUUCGGAUUGCACUCUGCAACUCGAGUGCAUGAAGCUGGAAUUACUAGUAAUCGUGGAUCAGCGUGCCACGGUGAAUGCGCUCCCGGGUCUUGUACACACCGCCCGUCACACCAUGGGAGUUGGUUCUACCUUAAGGCAAGGUUUUAAACCCUUGACCACGGUAUAGUCAGCGACUGGGGUG
Molecule: ribosomal RNA, 653 nt
Filed under: uncultured marine bacterium
Lineage: Bacteria
Description: bacterial SSU rRNA
Rfam family: Bacterial small subunit ribosomal RNA
Source: RNAcentral